AGUGAACGCUGGCGGUAGGCCUAACACACGCAAGUCGAACGGCAGCACAGUAAGAGCUUGCUCUUACGGGUGGCGAGUGACGGACGGGUGAGGAAUACAUCGGAAUCUACUUUUUCGUGGGGGAUAACGUAGGGAAACUUACGCUAAUACCGCAUACGACCUACGGGUGAAAGCAGGGGAUCUUCGGACCUUGCGCGAUUGAAUGAGCUGAUGUCGGAUUAGCUAGUUGGCGGGGUAAAGGCCCACCAAGGCGACGAUCCGUAGCUGGUCUGAGAGGAUGAUCAGCCACACUGGAACUGAGACACGGUCCAGACUCCUACGGGAGGCAGCAGUGGGGAAUAUUGGACAAUGGGCGCAAGCCUGAUCCAGCCAUACCGCGUGGGUGAAGAAGGCCUUCGGGUUGUAAAGCCCUUUUGUUGGGAAAGAAAAGCAGCAGGUUAAUACCCCGCUGUUCUGACGGUACCCAAAGAAUAAGCACCGGCUAACUUCGUG
Molecule: ribosomal RNA, 492 nt
Filed under: uncultured bacterium
Lineage: Bacteria
Description: partial 16S ribosomal RNA
Rfam family: Bacterial small subunit ribosomal RNA
Source: RNAcentral